Molecule: long non-coding RNA, 206 nt
Filed under: Mytilus galloprovincialis (Mediterranean mussel)
Lineage: Eukaryota; Metazoa; Mollusca; Bivalvia; Mytilida; Mytilidae
Source: RNAcentral
CUCUUUAGAGAGGGGUGAAAAUUAAAGAAAUUCAUUAUAAUAACUCACAAAUGUAAAAAUUUAAUUUGUAACUGUUGUUUACGGUUCCGUUUGAUUGACAAAAUUAGGUGAGCAAGCAAACUAGAUUUAAAUUGUUGAUAAACUAAUAUAGCAUCAGAUUUUAUCACUAGUAUAAAUCUGUCAUGCAUCAGACAAUGACAAGACAG